Molecule: non-coding RNA, 101 nt
Organism: Laetiporus sulphureus 93-53
Lineage: Eukaryota; Fungi; Basidiomycota; Agaricomycetes; Polyporales; Laetiporaceae
Source: Rfam
UGCCCCAUGGCUGAGUUGGUUACAGCGUCCGACUGUUACGGUCCAACUUUGGUUGCUUACAUACUAUCGGAAGGUCGAGAGUUCGAGCCUCUCUGGGGCAG